This is a long non-coding RNA of Hipposideros armiger (great roundleaf bat), 462 nucleotides long. RefSeq lists it as uncharacterized. NCBI's taxonomy places the organism in Eukaryota, Metazoa, Chordata, Mammalia, Chiroptera, Hipposideridae. The transcript is spliced from 2 exons. The record is from RefSeq and is a predicted model, not a curated record.
AAAGCAAAGGAAACUCAAAGUUUGCCAAGACCAUUUGGCGAGGUUUAUCGACUGUUUACUAAAGGCUGAAUGCACACCAUGCCGAUUUGCAGAACAACUGGCCUUAAUGACUUUUCUCAAGACUGCAUGCAUACCUCAUAAAUCUGUUUAUCGCCCAGGACAGUGCCUUGAAAGAAGUUGUAGCCCUGGAACACCUGCUUCAUUAACAAGAAAUCUGUUCAGGAGGGACUGAGAUAACCUUAUCUCUGAAACAAACCAGACUCUGGAAAUCGCUUUUUUUGCCUCUUCAGAACCCAUCACCCAGGAAAUUGCCUCACCAAUGCCCCUUUUCCUUUGUUCUGCUUCUCGUGCCUAUAAAACCUUCUGGCCGUCUUUAGGAGAGGGAAGGUAGGUUUUCAGACAGAAGUCCACUGCUUUCCCUGAAUGCUGGCAUUUUGAAUAAACCUGCUUUUCUUUCCACCA